Molecule: ribosomal RNA, 522 nt
Filed under: Salmonella enterica subsp. enterica serovar Oranienburg
Lineage: Bacteria; Pseudomonadati; Pseudomonadota; Gammaproteobacteria; Enterobacterales; Enterobacteriaceae
Also listed under: 1 other name
Description: partial 23S ribosomal RNA
Rfam family: Bacterial large subunit ribosomal RNA
Source: RNAcentral
GGGAAACCGAGUCUUAACCGGGCGUUAAGUUGCAGGGUAUAGACCCGAAACCCGGUGAUCUAGCCAUGGGCAGGUUGAAGGUUGGGUAACACUAACUGGAGGACCGAACCGACUAAUGUUGAAAAAUUAGCGGAUGACCUGUGGCUGGGGGUGAAAGGCCAAUCAAACCGGGAGAUAGCUGGUUCUCCCCGAAAGCUAUUUAGGUAGCGCCUCGUGAAUUCAUCUCCGGGGGUAGAGCACUGUUUCGGCUAGGGGGCCAUCCCGGCUUACCAACCCGAUGCAAACUGCGAAUACCGGAGAAUGUUAUCACGGGAGACACACGGCGGGUGCUAACGUCCGUCGUGAAGAGGGAAACAACCCAGACCGCCAGCUAAGGUCCCAAAGUCAUGGUUAAGUGGGAAACGAUGUGGGAAGGCCCAGACAGCCAGGAUGUUGGCUUAGAAGCAGCCAUCAUUUAAAGAAAGCGUAAUAGCUCACUGGUCGAGUCGGCCUGCGCGGAAGAUGUAACGGGGCUAAACCAUG